Molecule: ribosomal RNA, 522 nt
Filed under: Escherichia coli
Lineage: Bacteria; Pseudomonadati; Pseudomonadota; Gammaproteobacteria; Enterobacterales; Enterobacteriaceae
Description: partial 23S ribosomal RNA
Rfam family: Bacterial large subunit ribosomal RNA
Source: RNAcentral
CGGUGGUUCUGAAUGGAAGGGCCAUCGCUCAACGGAUAAAAGGUACUCCGGGGAUAACAGGCUGAUACCGCCCAAGAGUUCAUAUCGACGGCGGUGUUUGGCACCUCGAUGUCGGCUCAUCACAUCCUGGAGCUGAAGUAGGUCCCAAGGGUAUGGCUGUUCGCCAUUUAAAGUGGUACGCGAGCUGGGUUUAGAACGUCGUGAGACAGUUCGGUCCCUAUCUGCCGUGGGCGCUGGAGAACUGAGGGGGGCUGCUCCUAGUACGAGAGGACCGGAGUGGACGCAUCACUGGUGUUCGGGUUGUCAUGCCAAUGGCACUGCCCGGUAGCUAAAUGCGGAAGAGAUAAGUGCUGAAAGCAUCUAAGCACGAAACUUGCCCCGAGAUGAGUUCUCCCUGACUCCUUGAGAGUCCUGAAGGAACGUUGAAGACGACGACGUUGAUAGGCCGGGUGUGUAAGCGCAGCGAUGCGUUGAGCUAACCGGUACUAAUGAACCGUGAGGCUUAACCUUACAACGCCGAAG